GACGAACGCUGGCGGCGUGCUUAACACAUGCAAGUCGAACGGAAAGGCCCUGCUUUUGUGGGGUGCUCGAGUGGCGAACGGGUGAGUAACACGUGAGUAACCUGCCCUUGACUUUGGUAUAACUUCAGGAAACUGGGGCUAAUACCGGAUAGGAGCUCCUGCUGCAUGGUGGGGGUUGGAAAGUUUCGGCGGUUGGGGAUGGACGCGCGGCUGAUCAGCUUGUUGGUGGGGUAGUGGCUUACCAAGGCUUUGACGGGUAGCCGGCAUGAGAGGGUGACCGGCGACAUUGGGACUGAGAUACGGCCAAGACUCCUACGGGAGGCAGCAGUGGGGAAUAUUGCACAAUGGGCGGAAGCCUGAUGCAGCAACGCCGCGUGCGGGAUGACGGCCUUCGGGUUGUAAACCGCUUUCGCCUGUGACGAAGCGUGAGUGACGGUAAUGGGUAAAGAAGCACCGGCUAACUACGUG
This 468-nucleotide ribosomal RNA is filed under the name uncultured bacterium. RNAcentral's name for it is "partial 16S ribosomal RNA". It matches the Rfam family "Bacterial small subunit ribosomal RNA", at positions 28 to 507 of the family's 1533-position model. The record is from RNAcentral.